RNAcentral lists this transfer RNA (73 nucleotides) under Ursus americanus (American black bear). It matches the Rfam family "tRNA". From Rfam's summary of the family: Transfer RNA (tRNA) molecules are approximately 80 nucleotides in length. Their secondary structure includes four short double-helical elements and three loops (D, anti-codon, and T loops). RNAcentral also lists the same sequence under 2 other names. Lineage: Eukaryota; Metazoa; Chordata; Mammalia; Carnivora; Ursidae. The record is from Rfam by way of RNAcentral.
GCCUGGCUGGCUCAGUUGGAAGAGCAUGCGACUCUUGAUCUCAGGGUUGUGAGUUUGAGCCCCAUGUUAGGUG